This 500-nucleotide ribosomal RNA is filed under the name uncultured bacterium. RNAcentral's name for it is "partial 16S ribosomal RNA". It matches the Rfam family "Bacterial small subunit ribosomal RNA", at positions 30 to 523 of the family's 1533-position model. The record is from RNAcentral.
AUUGAACGCUGGCGGAAUGCUUUACACAUGCAAGUCGAACGGCAGCACGGACUUCGGUCUGGUGGCGAGUGGCGAACGGGUGAGUAAUGUAUCGGAACGUGCCCAGUCGUGGGGGAUAACGUAGUGAAAAUUACGCUAAUACCGCAUACGAUCUAUGGAUGAAAGCGGGGGAUCGCAAGACCUCGCGCGAUUGGAGCGGCCGAUAUCAGAUUAGGUAGUUGGUGGGGUGAAGGCCCACCAAGCCAACGAUCUGUAGCUGGUCUGAGAGGACGACCAGCCACACUGGAACUGAGACACGGUCCAGACUCCUACGGGAGGCAGCAGUGGGGAAUUUUGGACAAUGGGCGAAAGCCUGAUCCAGCCGUUCCGCGCGCAGGAUGAAGGCCCUCGGGUUGUAAACUGCUUUUGUACAGAACGAAAAGGUUUCUACUAAUACUAGGAGCUCAUGACGGUACUGUAAGAAUAAGCACCGGCUAACUACGUGCCAGCCGCCGCCGUAA